UUGCCUCAGUAACGGCGAAGUGAAGCGGCAACAGCUCAAAUUUGAAAUCUGGCCCUUUCAGGGACUGAGUUGUAAUUUGUAGAGGAUGUUUCGGGUGUGGCUCCGGUCUAAGUUCCUUGGAACAGGACGUCAUAGAGGGUGAGAAUCCCGUAUGUGACUGGUAGCCUACGCCCAUGUGAAACUCCUUCGACGAGUCGAGUUGUUUGGGAAUGCAGCUCAAAAUGGGUGGUAAAGUUUCAUCUAAAGCUAAAUAUUGGCCAGAGACCGAUAGCGCACAAGUAGAGUGAUCGAAAGAUGAAAAGCACUUUGGAAAGAGAGUUAAACAGUACGUGAAAUUGUUGAAAGGGAAGCGCUUGCAACCCAGACUUGCAUGUAGCUGAUCAACCGGUGUUCUCACCGGUGCACUCAGUUGCGUUCAGGCCAGCAUCGGUUUCGACGGUUGGAUAAAGGCCCUGGGAAUGUAGCUCCUCUCGGGGAGUGUUAUAGCCCAGGGUGCAAUGCAGCCUGUUGGGACCGAGGACCGCGCUUCGGCUAGGAUGCUGGCGUAAUGGUUGUAAGCGACCCGUCUUGAAACACGGACCAAGGAGUCUAACAUCUAUGCGAGUGUUUGGGUGUCAAACCCAUACGCGUAAUGAAAGUGAACGGAGGUGAGAACCCUUAAGGGUGCAUCAUCGACCGAUCCUGAUGUCUUCGGAUGGAUUUGAGUAAGAGCAUAGCUGUUGGGACCCGAAAGAUGGUGAACUAUGCCUGAAUAGGGUGAAGCCAGAGGAAACUCUGGUGGAGGCUCGCAGCGGUUCUGACGUGCAAAUCGAUCGUCAAAUUUGGGGUAUAGGGGGCGAAAGACUAAUCGAACCAUUGACCCGUGUGUCACCGGCGGACGGGAGCGCGUCUCCCGCCCGCCGUCGGAUAUUACUAGGUGGUUAAGAAGGCGCAGUCAAGCUGCGCCUAGUCCUGUGUAAGGGGCGAAACCUCCAAAUUGCGGGGACACCCUAAAGCCCCGGAAACCCCCAAGCUGCCCUCGAAAGUCGGCAGUGGCCGCAGCUUAAUCACUGCGGGUAUGGGAACAGCGUCCGGGGGAUAAAUAGUAUGGGCGAAUCCGCAGCCAAGCUCCUCUCGGGCGACCGACUGUGAGAAGGUUCAUCGACUAGACGGUGGUUGGUCAUCUGGGGCGGUGCCCCAGACGGCUUAAGGUAUAGUCAGGCCUGCAGGAGACUGCAGCGGGACGACGAAGGACUGGCGUUACACCGCACGACCCGUGC
Molecule: ribosomal RNA, 1259 nt
Filed under: Potebniamyces pyri
Lineage: Eukaryota; Fungi; Ascomycota; Leotiomycetes; Phacidiales; Phacidiaceae
Description: LSU rRNA
Rfam family: Eukaryotic large subunit ribosomal RNA
Source: RNAcentral